CCUUAGAGGACCUAGGGUAACUUAGCUUAGGCUAGAGUAGCUGAGGGACCUUAGAGGACCUAGCAUAGCGUAGCUUAGGCUAGAGUAGCUGAGGGACCUUAGAGGACCUAGCUUAGCUUAGCUUAGGCUAGAGUAGCUGAGGGAUCUUAGAGGACCUAGCGUAGCUUAGCUUAGGCUAGAGUAGCUGAGGGACCUUAGAGGACCUAGCUUAGCUUAGGCUAGAGUAGCUGAGGGACCUUAGAGGACCUAGCGUAGCGUAGCUUAGGCUUGAGUAGGUGAGGGACCUCAGAGGACC
Long non-coding RNA from Myotis davidii, 295 nucleotides. RefSeq lists it as uncharacterized. NCBI's taxonomy places the organism in Eukaryota, Metazoa, Chordata, Mammalia, Chiroptera, Vespertilionidae. The transcript has 3 exons. The record is from RefSeq and is a predicted model, not a curated record.